This 319-nucleotide ribosomal RNA is filed under the name uncultured bacterium. RNAcentral describes it as "bacterial SSU rRNA". It matches the Rfam family "Bacterial small subunit ribosomal RNA", at positions 470 to 789 of the family's 1533-position model. The record is from RNAcentral.
UGACGGUAUUCAACCAGAAAGUCACGGCUAACUACGUGCCAGCAGCCGCGGUAAUACGUAGGUGGCAAGCGUUAUCCGGAUUUAUUGGGCGUAAAGAGAGCGCAGGCGGUUUAAUAAGUCUGAAGUUAAAGGCAGUGGCUCAACCAUUGUUCGCUUUGGAAACUGUUAAACUUGAGUGCAGAAGGGGAGAGUGGAAUUCCAUGUGUAGCGGUGAAAUGCGUAGAUAUAUGGAGGAACACCGGUGGCGAAAGCGGCUCUCUGGUCUGUAACUGACGCUGAGGCUCGAAAGCGUGGGUAGCGAACAGGAUUAGAUACCCUG